This 394-nucleotide ribosomal RNA is filed under the name uncultured bacterium. Its description in RNAcentral is "bacterial SSU rRNA". It matches the Rfam family "Bacterial small subunit ribosomal RNA", at positions 30 to 424 of the family's 1533-position model. The record is from RNAcentral.
AUUGAACGCUGGCGGCAUGCCUUACACAUGCAAGUCGAACGGCAGCACGGGAGCUUGCUCCUGGUGGCGAGUGGCGAACGGGUGAGUAAAGCAUCGGAACGUAUCCGGAAGUGGGGGAUAACGUAGCGAAAGUUACGCUAAUACCGCAUAUUCUGUGAGCAGGAAAGAGGGGGGAUCGCAAGACCUCUCGCUUUCGGAGCGGCCGAUGUCGGAUUAGCUAGUUGGUGGGGUAAAGGCUCACCAAGGCAACGAUCCGUAGCGGGUCUGAGAGGAUGAUCCGCCACACUGGAACUGAGACACGGUCCAGACUCCUACGGGAGGCAGCAGUGGGGAAUUUUGGACAAUGGGCGCAAGCCUGAUCCAGCCAUGCCGCGUGAGUGAAGAAGGCCUGGUU